Molecule: transfer RNA, 64 nt
Filed under: Anisandrus dispar
Lineage: Eukaryota; Metazoa; Arthropoda; Insecta; Coleoptera; Curculionidae
Description: tRNA-Ala
Rfam family: tRNA
About the family: Transfer RNA (tRNA) molecules are approximately 80 nucleotides in length. Their secondary structure includes four short double-helical elements and three loops (D, anti-codon, and T loops). Further hydrogen bonds mediate the characteristic L-shaped molecular structure. tRNAs have two regions of fundamental functional importance: the anti-codon, which is responsible for specific mRNA codon recognition, and the 3' end, to which the tRNAs corresponding amino acid is attached (by aminoacyl-tRNA synthetases). tRNAs cope with the degeneracy of the genetic code in two manners: having more than one tRNA (with a specific anti-codon) for a particular amino acid; and 'wobble' base-pairing, i.e. permitting non-standard base-pairing at the 3rd anti-codon position.
Source: RNAcentral
AGGAUAAUAGUUUAAUAGAACAUUUAACUUGCACUUAAAAAGAAUAAUUCAAUUAUUUAUCUUA